GCAUCGGUGGUUUAGUGGUAGAAUGCUCGUCUGCCACGUGGGCGGCCCGGGUUCGAUUCCCGGCCGAUGAA
Molecule: transfer RNA, 71 nt
Filed under: Cordylochernes scorpioides
Lineage: Eukaryota; Metazoa; Arthropoda; Arachnida; Pseudoscorpiones; Chernetidae
Description: tRNA-Gly
Rfam family: tRNA
About the family: Transfer RNA (tRNA) molecules are approximately 80 nucleotides in length. Their secondary structure includes four short double-helical elements and three loops (D, anti-codon, and T loops).
Source: RNAcentral